GCUGGCGGCGUGCCUAACACAUGCAAGUCGAACGAUUAAACCGGCCUUUGGCCGGACAUAGAGUGGCGAACGGGUGAGUAACACGUGACCAACCUGCCCCCCGCUCCGGGACAACCGCUGGAAACGGCGGCUAAUACCGGAUGCCCCGGGUCCCCCGCAUGGGGUUCCCGGGAAAGCCACGGCGGCGGGGGAUGGGGUCGCGGCCCAUUAGGUAGACGGCGGGGUGACGGCCCACCGUGCCCGCGAUGGGUAGCCGGGCUGAGAGGCCGAUCGGCCACAUUGGGACUGAGAUACGGCCCAGACUCCUACGGGAGGCAGCAGUGGGGAAUCUUGCGCAAUGGGGGCAACCCUGACGCAGCAACGCCGCGUGCGGGAUGACGGCCUUCGGGUUGUAAACCGCUUUCAGCGGGGACGAUUAUGACGGUACCCGCAGAAGAAGCUCCGGCUAACUACGUGCCAGCAGCCGCGGUAAUACGUAGGGAGCGAGCGUUAUCCGGAUUCAUUGGGCGUAAAGCGCGCGUAGGCGGAUGCCUAAGCGGGACCUCUAACCCGGGGGCUCAACCCCCGGCCGGGUCCCGAACUGGGCGUCUCGAGUGCGGUAGGGGCAGGUGGAAUUCCAUGUGUAGCGGUGGAAUGCGCAGAUAUAUGGAAGAACACCGACGGCGAAGGCAGCCUGCUGGGCCGACACUGACGCUGAGGUGCGAAAGCGCGGGGAGCGAACAGGAUUAGAUACCCUGGUAGUCCGCGCCGUAAACGAUGGACGCUAGGUGUGGGGGAGCGUUUCCCCCGUGCCGAAGCCAACGCAU
RNAcentral lists this ribosomal RNA (806 nucleotides) under uncultured bacterium. RNAcentral describes it as "bacterial SSU rRNA". It matches the Rfam family "Bacterial small subunit ribosomal RNA", at positions 35 to 860 of the family's 1533-position model. The record is from RNAcentral.